ACUGCUCAGUAACACGUGGAUAACCUGCCCUGCGGUGGGAAAUAACCCCGGGAAACUGGGGGUAAUGUCCCAUAGGCUACGGAUGCUGGAAUGCUCUGUAGCUCAAAGAUUUAUCGCCACAGGAUGGGUCUGCGGCCGAUUAGGUAGUUGUUGGGGUAACGGCCCAACAAGCCUUUGAUCGGUACGGGUUGUGGGAGCAAGAGCCCGGAGAUGGAUUCUGAGACACGAAUCCAGGCCCUACGGGGCGCAGCAGGCGCGAAAACUUUACAAUGCGGGAAACCGUGAUAAGGGAACUCCGAGUGUCCGUCAAUGCGGACUGUCCGUAUGUUUAAAAAGCAUGCGAAGAAAGGGCCGGGCAAGACCGGUGCCAGCCGCCGCGGUAAUACCGGCGGCUCGAGUGGUGGCCACUAUUACUGGGCUUAAAGCGUUCGUAGCUGGGUUGUUAAGUCUCUUGGGAAAUCUAUCGGCUUAACCGAUAGGCGUCCAAGGGAUACUGGCAAUCUAGGGACCGGGAGAGGUGAGGGGUACUUCAGGGGUAGGAGUGAAAUCCUGUAAUCCUUGGGGGACCACCUGUGGCGUAGGCGCCUCACCAGAACGGCUCCGACAGUGAGGGACGAAAGCUGGGGGAGCAAACCGGAUUAGAUACCCGGGUAGUCCCAGCCGUAAACGAUGCGCGUUAGGUGUAUCGAUGACCACGAGUCAUCGAGGUGCCGAAGGGAAACCGUGAAACGCGCCGCCUGGGAAGUACGGUCGCAAGGCUGAAACUUAAAGGAAUUGGCGGGGGAGCAC
RNAcentral lists this ribosomal RNA (789 nucleotides) under uncultured archaeon. Its description in RNAcentral is "bacterial SSU rRNA". It matches the Rfam family "Archaeal small subunit ribosomal RNA", at positions 85 to 879 of the family's 1478-position model. The record is from RNAcentral.